CAGUCGCCACGGUAAUACAGAGGUCCCAAGCGUUGUUCGGAAUCACUGGGCGUAAAGGGUGCGUAGGCGGCGCGGAAAGUCAGGGGUGAAAUCCCGGAGCUCAACUCCGGAACUGCCUUUGAUACUCCCGCACUUGAGAACUGGAGGGGAGACCGGAAUUCACGGUGGAGCAGUGAAAUGCGUGGAUAUCGUGAGGAACACUAGCGGCGAAGGCGGGUCUCUGGACAGUAUCUGACGCUGAGGCACGAAGGCCAGGGGAGCGAACGGGAUUAGAUACCCGCGUAGUCCCUGUCUCUUAUAC
Molecule: ribosomal RNA, 301 nt
Filed under: uncultured bacterium
Lineage: Bacteria
Description: partial 16S ribosomal RNA
Rfam family: Bacterial small subunit ribosomal RNA
Source: RNAcentral